CUGGAGGUAUCAGAAGUGCGAAUGCUGACAUAAGUAACGAUAAAGCGGGUGAAAAGCCCGCUCGCCGGAAGACCAAGGGUUCCUGUCCAACGUUAAUCGGGGCAGGGUGAGUCGACCCCUAAGGCGAGGCCGAAAGGCGUAGUCGAUGGGAAACAGGUUAAUAUUCCUGUACUUGGUGUUACUGCGAAGGGGGGACGGAGAAGGCUAUGUUGGCCGGGCGACGGUUGUCCCGGUUUAAGCGUGUAGGCUGGUUUUCCAGGCAAAUCCGGAAAAUCAAGGCUGAGGCGUGAUGACGAGGCACUACGGUGCUGAAGCAACAAAUGCCCUGCUUCCAGGAAAAGCCUCUAAGCAUCAGGUAACAUCAAAUCGUACCCCAAACCGACACAGGUGGUCAGGUAGAGAAUACCAAGGCGCUUGAGAGAACUCGGGUGAAGGAACUAGGCAAAAUGGUGCCGUAACUUCGGGAGAAGGCACGCUGAUAUGUAGGUGAAGCGACUUGCUCGUGGAGCUGAAAUCAGUCGAAGAUACCAGCUGGCUGCAACUGUUUAUUAAAAACACAGC
Molecule: ribosomal RNA, 561 nt
Filed under: Escherichia coli
Lineage: Bacteria; Pseudomonadati; Pseudomonadota; Gammaproteobacteria; Enterobacterales; Enterobacteriaceae
Description: partial 23S ribosomal RNA
Rfam family: Bacterial large subunit ribosomal RNA
Source: RNAcentral